UUAUGGCUCAGGAUGAACGCUAGCUACAGGCUUAACACAUGCAAGUCGAGGGGCAGCAUGAAACUUAGCUUGCUAAGUUUGAUGGCGACCGGCGCACGGGUGAGUAACACGUAUCCAACCUACCGUUUACUACGGGAUAGCCUUCUGAAAAGGAGAUUAAUACCGUAUGGUAUUCUAAAGUUUCAUGACAUUAGAAUUAAAGGUUUACCGGUAAUCGAUGGGGAUGCGUUCCAUUAGAUAGUAGGCGGGGUAACGGCCCACCUAGUCAGCGAUGGAUAGGGGUUCUGAGAGGAAGGUCCCCCACAUUGGAACUGAGACACGGUCCAAACUCCUACGGGAGGCAGCAGUGAGGAAUAUUGGUCAAUGGGCGAGAGCCUGAACCAGCCAAGUAAGCGUGAAGGAUGACUGCCCUAUGGGUUGUAAACUUCUUUUAUAAAGGAAUAAAGUGGUCCACGUGUGGAUUUUUGUAUGUACUUUAUGAAUAAGGAUCGGCUAACUCCGUGCCAGCAGCCGC
Molecule: ribosomal RNA, 514 nt
Filed under: uncultured bacterium
Lineage: Bacteria
Description: bacterial SSU rRNA
Rfam family: Bacterial small subunit ribosomal RNA
Source: RNAcentral